This 478-nucleotide long non-coding RNA is filed under the name Androctonus crassicauda. The record is from RNAcentral. Lineage: Eukaryota; Metazoa; Arthropoda; Arachnida; Scorpiones; Buthidae.
GGCGAAACAAGUCUUUCCACAGGCUGCCCACCCCUGCGGAGGGGUCAGCCGGAUUAUGGAGGACAGGAAUGGACGGGUCGGAUCCGGAAAAUACUUUCAAGAGGGUAGGACCCGAGAAUGAAACCCGAGUCCUCCAAAGUGGAAAGCCGAAGCGUUUCCACGCGCCCAAUUCGGCCAUUUAUUAUAUAUUGGAAAAAUACAGUAAAACGUGCUCUUUGCAGAAUUCUGAUGUCUUGAAGUUAUUGUUGAAGCCGUUCCACUAUUUCUUGGAUUAUUAUUAUCAUUAUUAUGUUGGGGUAAUCAAUAUUAUCACGGAAUAACUCCGGAGCAAAGUGCUAUGUCGGACAAGAGUCAAGACAUAGCUAUUUGAAAUGUUUUAUUUAUAAAACACGCAAUAUAUAUACACACAAUAUAUAUAUAUUUUACGUUAAGUAAUUGUCUGUGUCAGUGCUGAGAAACUUUCUUACUAUGUUGCAUG